Molecule: ribosomal RNA, 484 nt
Filed under: uncultured bacterium
Lineage: Bacteria
Description: partial 16S ribosomal RNA
Rfam family: Bacterial small subunit ribosomal RNA
Source: RNAcentral
AUUGAACGCUGGCGGCAGGCCUAACACAUGCAAGUCGAGCGGAUGAAGGGAGCUUGCUCCUGGAUUCAGCGGCGGACGGGUGAGUAAUGCCUAGGAAUCUGCCUGGUAGUGGGGGAUAACGUCCGGAAACGGCCGCUAAUACCGCAUACGUCCUGAGGGAGAAAGUGGGGGAUCUUCGGACCUCACGCUAUCAGAUGAGCCUAGGUCGGAUUAGCUAGUUGGUGGGGUAAAGGCCUACCAAGGCGACGAUCCGUAACUGGUCUGAGAGGAUGAUCAGUCACACUGGAACUGAGACACGGUCCAGACUCCUACGGGAGGCAGCAGUGGGGAAUAUUGGACAAUGGGCGAAAGCCUGAUCCAGCCAUGCCGCGUGUGUGAAGAAGGUCUUCGGAUUGUAAAGCACUUUAAGUUGGGAGGAAGGGCAGUAAGUUAAUACCUUGCUGUUUUGACGUUACCAACAGAAUAAGCACCGGCUAACUUCGUG